CGCCCUUUUCGUAAUAGAUCAUGUUAAAAAGCAUGUGACUUUUAUCGAUUUUACACCGACUCAAGAUUGGUGUAAACACAUGUCAUACAAGAGGUUCGCGGAAGCGAUUAUCAUGACCUCAAAAAAAUAUAAGAUUGCUUACAGCAAGAAACGUUCUGGAUGGGCGGAGGAUAUCUUUAAGUGGGAACAUACAAUUCAGACUGGUGUUCCAAUUGACUUAAGAGGGUUUAAUACCAGCUACCUCGUUCUACAAGCUAUGGCCAUGUGGGGGAAUGACAGACGACUGAAAUUUGUUGGGGAUGCAAAGACUCUUCGAAGGAACUUUGUGAUUGAUCUUUUAAGUUAUGAGGACAAUUCGUGCCGAUAUGCUAUCCCUGCAAACAUACAACAAAGACUUAUCGAUAUCGCUAAAAAAGAUUAGCUGAUUAGUGAACAGUUGUCGACACAUUUGUGAACACAUUUAUCCAAAACAUUAC
Molecule: unclassified non-coding RNA, 476 nt
Filed under: Zea mays
Lineage: Eukaryota; Viridiplantae; Streptophyta; Magnoliopsida; Poales; Poaceae
Description: misc RNA Zm00001eb365310
Source: RNAcentral